This 460-nucleotide ribosomal RNA is filed under the name uncultured bacterium. RNAcentral's name for it is "partial 16S ribosomal RNA". It matches the Rfam family "Bacterial small subunit ribosomal RNA", at positions 338 to 795 of the family's 1533-position model. The record is from RNAcentral.
CCUACGGGUGGCAGCAGUGAGGAAUAUUGGUCAAUGGACGAGAGUCUGAACCAGCCAAGUAGCGUGAAGGAUGACUGCCCUAUGGGUUGUAAACUUCUUUUAUAAAGGAAUAAAACGAGGCACGUGUGCCUUUUUGCAUGUACUUUAUGAAUAAGGAUCGGCUAACUCCGUGCCAGCAGCCGCGGUAAUACGGAGGAUCCGAGCGUUAUCCGGAUUUAUUGGGUUUAAAGGGAGCGUAGAUGGGUUGUUAAGUCAGUUGUGAAAGGUUGCGGCUCAACCGUAAAAUUGCAAUUGAUACUGGCAGUCUUGAGUACAGUUGAGGUAAGCGGAAUGCGUGGUGUAGCGGUGAAAUGCUUAGAUAUCACGAAGAACCCCGAUUGCGAAGGCAGCUUACUAAACUGUGACUGACAUUGAUGCUCGAAAGUGUGGGUAUCAAACAGGAUUAGAUACCCGUGUAGUC